Molecule: ribosomal RNA, 849 nt
Filed under: Salmonella enterica subsp. enterica serovar Stanley
Lineage: Bacteria; Pseudomonadati; Pseudomonadota; Gammaproteobacteria; Enterobacterales; Enterobacteriaceae
Description: partial 23S ribosomal RNA
Rfam family: Bacterial large subunit ribosomal RNA
Source: RNAcentral
GGACACGUGGUAUCCUGUCUGAAUAUGGGGGGACCAUCCUCCAAGGCUAAAUACUCCUGACUGACCGAUAGUGAACCAGUACCGUGAGGGAAAGGCGAAAAGAACCCCGGCGAGGGGAGUGAAAAAGAACCUGAAACCGUGUACGUACAAGCAGUGGGAGCACCCUUCGGGGUGUGACUGCGUACCUUUUGUAUAAUGGGUCAGCGACUUAUAUUCUGUAGCAAGGUUAACCGAAUAGGGGAGCCGGAGGGAAACCGAGUCUUAAUUGGGCGUUAAGUUGCAGGGUAUAGACCCGAAACCCGGUGAUCUAGCCAUGGGCAGGUUGAAGGUUGGGUAACACUAACUGGAGGACCGAACCGACUAAUGUUGAAAAAUUAGCGGAUGACCUGUGGCUGGGGGUGAAAGGCCAAUCAAACCGGGAGAUAGCUGGUUCUCCCCGAAAGCUAUUUAGGUAGCGCCUCGUGAAUUCAUCUCCGGGGGUAGAGCACUGUUUCGGCUAGGGGGCCAUCCCGGCUUACCAACCCGAUGCAAACUGCGAAUACCGGAGAAUGUUAUCACGGGAGACACACGGCGGGUGCUAACGUCCGUCGUGAAGAGGGAAACAACCCAGACCGCCAGCUAAGGUCCCAAAGUCAUGGUUAAGUGGGAAACGAUGUGGGAAGGCCCAGACAGCCAGGAUGUUGGCUUAGAAGCAGCCAUCAUUUAAAGAAAGCGUAAUAGCUCACUGGUCGAGUCGGCCUGCGCGGAAGAUGUAACGGGGCUAAACCAUGCACCGAAGCUGCGGCAGCGACACUGUGUGUUGUUGGGUAGGGGAGCGUUCUGUAAGCCUGUGAAGGUGUGUCGUGAGGC